Molecule: RNA transcript, 2565 nt
Organism: Vigna radiata var. radiata (mung bean)
Lineage: Eukaryota; Viridiplantae; Streptophyta; Magnoliopsida; Fabales; Fabaceae
Exons: 2
Source: RefSeq, a predicted model, not a curated record
AAAGGCUUUGCAUCGGAAUAAAGACACGUUAAAUGCAAUUAAAUAUGAUUUUGAAUGCAGGGGACAAAUUCAGCUGUAUGAGCUUAGAAGCAAGACAAUCUAAGACAUAGUUUGGAUGUUUCAGUUUUAGUGUGUCAUAUGUGGCACCAAAGCCUAGAGAUCCUCAAAAAAUUCCACAAAUCUUGAUCGUUGAAUGAACUCCCAAUGGUUCUCAAACAGUUACACGUGCAGCCUAUCACUCCUUUUCUCAUUUAAUUUGAUUUAUUUUCUUUCUCAUGCAUGGAAUUCUCCUCCAACUACUACACCCAACACAAGAUAAACCAUAAAACCAAAGAGCAAAAUCACAGUGUAGAUUGAUUAGCUCUUGUAUUACUAUGAAUAACUAUGGUUGAAGCCACUGCUAAUGACAACUACCAUCGAAUUUGAUCUCUUUUUAUUUUUAUUUGUCACUACAUAUACCCAUUAAAUUUUGAGCAUUCUAUAGGGAAACGGAAAUUAAGGGGUCUCUCCCCUUUUUGUGGGUUGGAUCUUGUACUUAUGGAACUGUCACAUCUGACCAUUUUGAUUCUCUUCUGAUCAUCAUCAUCACCACCUGGUUAAAAAGCAAGCAACUUGGUGAUCUGAAUUUUGUCCCUUUCUCUUCUCUGUUCUCUCCUUCUUUCACCGUUUUAGGUGGGGCUGGAAACCUGAUCAUCAUGGAUUGAAUGCUAUCUUGUCCUUGCAGAUUUGAGGUUUGUGACAUAGUUUGUUGGGUAUAUCUGGUUUCUGCGUCAGAUUCACGUCACGUCAGUCCAUGGAGGAGAGGAAGUAUGUGUGCAAGUAUUGCAGCAAGAGGUUUCCUUGUGGGAAGUCUCUGGGGGGUCACAUCAGAACCCAUAUGACUGAAGAAAGAAGUAAUGCUGAUGCUGACAUCUUCAUCAAGUCGGAUGGUUUCAAGAAGAAGAGAGAUUUAUGGUGCGAAGAUGUUGUCGGGAACCCCAUUUAUGGCCUCAGAGAGAACCCCAAGAAAACAAUGAGGUUUGUGCAUUCUGGCGCUCGUCGUGGUUGUGCUAGUGGUGUUGCCGGUGCCAACUAUGAAAAGGAGGAGAGGUUCUGCAAAGAAUGCGGGAAAGGUUUCCCAUCGCUGAAGGCUCUUUGUGGUCACAUGGCUAGUCACUCUGAUAAAGAGAAGAGAACCAUCAAGUUUGAAGACAGUGACAAGAAACUGAAAUUGGUUAUGGACAGUCAAUCUGACACCGAGACCUGUUCUCCCUCUCAUCCAAGGAGAUCCAAGAGAAUGAGGGUCAAGACCAUUAACCUUUCCAAUCACCCUUUUUCUUCCUCUUCUCCUUCUUCUUCUUCUGUUCCGUUGCCCAAUGGCUCUUCACCCGUUUCAGAAGUGGAGCAGGAGCAAGAAGAGGUUGCUAGGUGCUUGAUGCUGCUGUCUAGAGAUUCUACCUUCAAGGGUCGUUUUGCUUCUGUCACCGAAUGUUCUGAUAACAACUCAGUUGUUCUAGAAGCAAAAUCCUCCUCUCCUGAUACUCGGUUUGGUGUCAGCAAUGGUAACUAUAACUUUGUCUCUAAUAAUGCUUAUGAUCUUGCUCACAACAAGUUGCUUAGGGUUAAUGAUAUCAAGUUAAAGUCUGUUGAGUUUGGUGCUUCUGAUAAUUCAGGUUCUAGAUAUUUCAAACACGGUCCCAAAACCAAAGUGGUUGACUCAGAUGUCUCCAAUGAUGAAUUUAAGUGGCCCAAAGUGGGAGAUAAGUCAAGCAAAUACACUGCAACUUUGGUAAAGAAGGAGGAUUUGGAUUAUGAUGGAACAGAUGGAACUGCAAGGAAGUUUGAUUCAAGAAAGAGAAGCAACUAUGAUUCUCUUGAUAACAAGAAGAUAGCAAAUGGUUUUGGUAAUGAAGUAUAUGGGAAUAGCACAAAAGGUUGGAAGUACGAGUCUUUGGAGGGUGAAAGGGACUAUGAUUCUUAUGAUUAUUCCAUUGAGGAGAGCCAUGAAAACAGUUCAGAGACAGAAUCUUAUCCUGCUCCCAGGUCUCAUAACAGUAAGGCCCUCAAUGGGAAGAAGUCCACCAGCAAGGCCAAGAAGAAGUUGAAAUCUAAGAAAAGCAGGGAUCAUGAGUGUCCAAUCUGCUACAAAAUUUUCAGGUCAGGCCAAGCCUUGGGAGGACACAAAAGAUCCCAUUUCAUUGGUGGUUCUGAAGAAAACACUCUGGUGAUCAAACAAGCUGCUCCUGUUGUUCCAUGCCUGAUUGAUCUAAAUCUACCUGCUCCUGUUGACGAAUAAGGAAAUGGGCAUCCUGGGUUUUGCAUCAUUUUGAAGCAUCUGCUGUUGAGACUAGAAGAAUCAUGUGGAGCAAAAUAAAGACAAUGCAAAGGUUAAAGAUAAGUGUAACUUUAUUUGUUUUGUAAUUCCGUCCAAUUUUUUUUACCCACCAAAGCAUGUCUUACGACCAGAUUUAUCUCUUUUAGCACAGAAUUGCACUAUGGUAAAUCAAAUUCUAGCCAUAAGUGUAGUUUCUAACAGGUGAUUGCUUAGUCCUCGGACCAGAAAGUUAUAUUUUGAAUUUGAUCAAA